This is a long non-coding RNA of Candoia aspera, 569 nucleotides long. RefSeq lists it as uncharacterized. Lineage: Eukaryota; Metazoa; Chordata; Lepidosauria; Squamata; Candoiidae. The transcript has 2 exons. The record is from RefSeq and is a predicted model, not a curated record.
UUUUGUCUUACGGCUUAAUAAUGCAUAUACAUAUAAGUACACCAAGGAAUCUUCAUGCAGUGAUGUUAAUAUGUGACAAAUGAACAGCAGAGAUCCGGAAACAACAUUUACAUGCAACAGCUUGGAGAUCAACAUAAUUAGCCAUAUGGCAAACUUGGCUGAGCUGUCAACAAAGUGUAUUGCACACCUAAUUUAUUCUGAAAACUUAUGCUUCUACAAAUUGUGACUGAUGAUUUUUCAUGUCACUCAACUUUUACAGAGCUUGACAAAUAAAGUAGAUAUUCAUAAUUCCCCCAGAAAGCUAAUAAACUGCAGUGAUGGAUAUGAAGUUCAGAUGUAGUCCACUGAGUCAAAGUAAUACCAAUAUAAUAGUUUGAAUCUCCCAAAAGUACAUGGGGAAGUGCAGAGUUGUGUCUUGUGAUCAUCCCUAAGGGGAUGUAUGCAGAAGAAUGAUAUUGGGACAAGAUUGAAAAAUGGACACGUAACUUCAGCUUUCAAUGAACUUUCAUGUUAAAAAGAUUCUUACCAAUAAAUAUCUCAUCUCCAAGAUAAAGGAGUUAGAAAUGCAA